This is a non-coding RNA of Plectropomus leopardus (leopard coralgrouper), 1001 nucleotides long. The record is from RefSeq and is a predicted model, not a curated record. Lineage: Eukaryota; Metazoa; Chordata; Actinopteri; Perciformes; Serranidae.
CUGACUACAAUUUGGUGUUCAAAGGUCAAGGUCAUGGUGACCUAAUACAACAUGUUUUGGCCAUAACUCAAAAACCCUAAACUUAUGGAAACUGUACAUACAACCGUGUGGUCGUAUAUCUAGUAAAAUUAUAUAUAUUUUAGCUCAUAGUGCCUUUUUUCUUUAACUUUAUGGUAUCUGCCCAAAUUACACUCAUUUUACGUCAGGUUUUUAUUUGGGGAUCAAUCAACUCCUUUGGCUGCGAGAGGAGCACGACAUCAUGUACAUUUAUAAUAUCAGUAAAAACCUGAAUAAAGAACUGAAUUUUUAAAUUUUUUUUUUAGCUAAAACAAUAUUAGAUAUUAGGUUACAAUUUUAAGUUGUUUUUAUACUUGUAUCACUCAUGUAUCCGUUCAAGUGCAGACAAUUUGUCAAGUAACCUUUGUUUAAUACUUUUAUAAGCAAUUUUACAUAUUAUAUAGCUUAUUUUACUUGUCCGUUAUUGUAUACAUUGCGUACGUUGGGUCAUAAAAUGUCAAAAUAUGAAAGCGUCUGUAAAGCCAACUUUAUUGCGCUGAGGCAGGAACAGUGCAUUUCUCUUCCCACAUCUCAUUUUGUGCGUAUAAUCUGAAAAAAACAUGGACUGAACAGAAAUGAGAAAUUGACAAAUACUGUAAGAAGCAAACACAAACCCGUGAGCCCUCAGAAACACGUCCUGACUGAGCGCUGUGACAACGGUUCGAACCCACAACUCAGAUUUUAAAGACAUCAACUCCACCUGUAACGCCCACUUCAGCAGUACAAAAAUAAAUGCUGGUAUUGAUAGCUGCAUGCAACAACUGUGUGUGUGUGUGUGUGUGUGUGUACCAAAUAUAUGCUUUGAGUGAAUGUUCCAAGCUUAUAUGAUAACAACCAAUUUUUAUGAGGCAGCUAUAUUGAAUCUUAUCAUACAAGUGUGUGGAAUUAAGUUUUGACCAAGAAAAAAAAAAACAAAAUAAAUGUACAUUUUUAUACUUUCUAAA